RNAcentral lists this ribosomal RNA (274 nucleotides) under uncultured bacterium. Its description in RNAcentral is "partial 16S ribosomal RNA". It matches the Rfam family "Bacterial small subunit ribosomal RNA", at positions 523 to 796 of the family's 1533-position model. The record is from RNAcentral.
AUACGGAGGAUCCAAGCGUUAUCCGGAAUCAUUGGGUUUAAAGGGUCCGUAGGUGGAUAAUUAAGUCAGAGGUGAAAUCCUGCAGCUCAACUGUAGAAUUGCCUUUGAUACUGGUUAUCUUGAGUUAUUAUGAAGUAGUUAGAAUAUGUAGUGUAGCGGUGAAAUGCAUAGAUAUUACAUAGAAUACCGAUUGCGAAGGCAGAUUACUAAUAAUAUACUGACACUGAGGUACGAAAGCGUGGGGAGCGAACAGGAUUAGAAACCCCUGUAGUCC